RNAcentral lists this ribosomal RNA (459 nucleotides) under uncultured bacterium. RNAcentral's name for it is "partial 16S ribosomal RNA". It matches the Rfam family "Bacterial small subunit ribosomal RNA", at positions 338 to 795 of the family's 1533-position model. The record is from RNAcentral.
CCUACGGGCGGCAGCAGUGAGGAAUAUUGGUCAAUGGGCGAGAGCCUGAACCAGCCAAGUCGCGUGAAGGAUGAAGGAUCUAUGGUUUGUAAACUUCUUUUAUAUGGGAAUAAAGUGAGGAACGUGUUCCUUUUUGUAUGUACCAUAUGAAUAAGCAUCGGCUAACUCCGUGCCAGCAGCCGCGGUAAUACGGAGGAUGCGAGCGUUAUCCGGAUUUAUUGGGUUUAACGGGGGCGUAGGUGGUUAAUUAAGUCAGCGGUAAAAUUGUGGGGCUCAACCCCGUAGAGCCGUUGAAACUGGCAGACUUGAGUAGGCGAGAGGGACGCGGAAUGCGCGGUGUAGCGGGGAAAUGCAUAGAUAUCGCGCAGAACUCCGAUUGCGAAGGCAGCGUACCGGCGCCAGACUGACGCUGAGGCACGAAAGCGGGGGGAUCGAACAGGAUUAGAUACCCUUGUAGUC